This 608-nucleotide ribosomal RNA is filed under the name Escherichia coli. RNAcentral describes it as "partial 23S ribosomal RNA". It matches the Rfam family "Bacterial large subunit ribosomal RNA", at positions 582 to 1191 of the family's 2925-position model. Lineage: Bacteria; Pseudomonadati; Pseudomonadota; Gammaproteobacteria; Enterobacterales; Enterobacteriaceae. The record is from RNAcentral.
CGCUUCGGCGUGUGACUGCGUACCUUUUGUAUAAUGGGUCAGCGACUUAUAUUCUGUAGCAAGGUUAACCGAAUAGGGGAGCCGAAGGGAAACCGAGUCUUAACUGGGCGUUAAGUUGCAGGGUAUAGACCCGAAACCCGGUGAUCUAGCCAUGGGCAGGUUGAAGGUUGGGUAACACUAACUGGAGGACCGAACCGACUAAUGUUGAAAAAUUAGCGGAUGACUUGUGGCUGGGGGUGAAAGGCCAAUCAAACCGGGAGAUAGCUGGUUCUCCCCGAAAGCUAUUUAGGUAGCGCCUCGUGAAUUCAUCUCCGGGGGUAGAGCACUGUUUCGGCAAGGGGGUCAUCCCGACUUACCAACCCGAUGCAAACUGCGAAUACCGGAGAAUGUUAUCACGGGAGACACACGGCGGGUGCUAACGUCCGUCGUGAAGAGGGAAACAACCCAGACCGCCAGCUAAGGUCCCAAAGUCAUGGUUAAGUGGGAAACGAUGUGGGAAGGCCCAGACAGCCAGGAUGUUGGCUUAGAAGCAGCCAUCAUUUAAAGAAAGCGUAAUAGCUCACUGGUCGAGUCGGCCUGCGCGGAAGAUGUAACGGGGCUAAACCAUG